Molecule: ribosomal RNA, 254 nt
Filed under: uncultured bacterium
Lineage: Bacteria
Description: partial 16S ribosomal RNA
Rfam family: Bacterial small subunit ribosomal RNA
Source: RNAcentral
UACGGAGGGUGCGAGCGUUGUCCGGAAUCACUGGGCGUAAAGGGCGCGUAGGCGGCAGGCCAAGCGUGCGGUGAAAGCUCGGGGCUCAACUCCGAGUCGGCCGUGCGAACUGGGCUCACUGGAGCAUAGUAGAGGCAGGUGGAAUUCCGGGUGUAGCGGUGGAAUGCGUAGAGAUCCGGAAGAACACCGGUGGCGAAGGCGGCCUGCUGGGCUAUGGCUGACACUGAGGCGCGACAGCGUGGGGAGCAAACAGG